Molecule: ribosomal RNA, 429 nt
Filed under: Acidobacteriota bacterium
Lineage: Bacteria; Pseudomonadati; Acidobacteriota
Description: Acidobacteria bacterium partial 16S ribosomal RNA
Rfam family: Bacterial small subunit ribosomal RNA
Source: RNAcentral
UGGGGAAUUUUGGACCAUGGGGGAAACCCCGAUCCAGCCAUCCCGCGUGUGCGAUGAAGGCCUUCGGGUUGUAAAGCACUUUUGGCAGGAAAGAAACGUCAUGGGUUAAUACCCCGUGAAACUGACGGUACCUGCAGAAUAAGCACCGGCUAACUACGUGCCAGCAGCCGCGGUAAUACGUAGGGUGCAAGCGUUAAUCGGAAUUACUGGGCGUAAAGCGUGCGCAGGCGGUUCGGAAAGAAAGAUGUGAAAUCCCAGAGCUCAACUUUGGAACUGCAUUUUUAACUACCGGGCUAGAGUGUGGCAGAGGGAGGUGGAAUUCCGCGUGUAGCAGUGAAAUGCGUAGAUAUGCGGAGGAACACGGAUGGCGAAGGCAGCCUCCUGGGAUAACACUGACGCUCAUGCACGAAAGCGUUGGGAGCAAACAGG